RNAcentral lists this ribosomal RNA (256 nucleotides) under uncultured Gardnerella sp. RNAcentral describes it as "partial 16S ribosomal RNA". It matches the Rfam family "Bacterial small subunit ribosomal RNA", at positions 99 to 354 of the family's 1533-position model. Lineage: Bacteria; Bacillati; Actinomycetota; Actinomycetes; Bifidobacteriales; Bifidobacteriaceae. The record is from RNAcentral.
CGAACGGGUGAGUAAUGCGUGACCAACCUGCCCCAUGCUCCAGAAUAGCUCUUGGAAACGGGUGGUAAUGCUGGAUGCUCCAACUUGACGCAUGUCUUGUUGGUAAAGUGUUUAGUGGCAUGGGAUGGGGUCGCGUCCUAUCAGCUUGUAGGCGGGGUAAUGGCCCACCUAGGCUUCGACGGGUAGCCGGCCUGAGAGGGCGGACGGCCACAUUGGGACUGAGAUACGGCCCAGACUCCUACGGGAGGCAGCAGGC